CCUACGGGGAGCUGCAGUGGGGGAUAUUGCACAAUGGGGGGAACCCUGAUGCAGCGACGCCGCGUGGGUGAAGGAGCGUUUCGGCGCGUAACGCCCUAUCGGCAGGGGAGAAAAGGACGGUACCUGACCAAGAAGCCCCGGCAAACUACGUGCAAGCAGCCGCGGUAAUACGUAGGGGGCAAGCGGUAACCGGAUUUACGGGUAGGAAAGGGGGCGCAGACGGCAAUGCAAGGCAGGAGUGAAAGCCCGGGGCGCAACCCCGGGACUGUUCUUGGAAAUGCAGGGCUGGAGUACAGGAGGGGCAGGCGGAAUUCCUAGUGUAGCGGUGAAAUGCGUAGAUAUUAGGAGGAACACCGGUGGCGAAGGCGGCCUGCUGGACUGUGACUGACGUUGAGGCCCGAAGGCGUGGGGAGCAAACAGGAUUAGAUACCCGGGUAGU
RNAcentral lists this ribosomal RNA (439 nucleotides) under uncultured bacterium. RNAcentral describes it as "partial 16S ribosomal RNA". It matches the Rfam family "Bacterial small subunit ribosomal RNA", at positions 338 to 794 of the family's 1533-position model. The record is from RNAcentral.